UACGUAGGGGGCGAGCGUUGUCCGGAUUCAUUGGGCGUAAAGAGCUCGUAGGCGGCUUGGCAAGUCGGGUGUGAAACCUCCAGGCUCAACCUGGAGACGCCACCCGAUACUGCCAUGGCUAGAGUCCGGUAGGGGACCACGGAAUUCCUGGUGUAGCGGUGAAAUGCGCAGAUAUCAGGAAGAACACCCGUGGCGAAGGCGGCUCUCUGGGACGGUACUGACGCUGAGACGCGAAAGCGUGGGGAGCGAACAGG
This 254-nucleotide ribosomal RNA is filed under the name uncultured bacterium. RNAcentral describes it as "partial 16S ribosomal RNA". It matches the Rfam family "Bacterial small subunit ribosomal RNA", at positions 524 to 776 of the family's 1533-position model. The record is from RNAcentral.